Molecule: unclassified non-coding RNA, 359 nt
Filed under: Hevea brasiliensis (rubber tree)
Lineage: Eukaryota; Viridiplantae; Streptophyta; Magnoliopsida; Malpighiales; Euphorbiaceae
Source: RNAcentral
GGGAAUUAUUUAGAUGACACUGACAAUCCAACAGACAUAUUCUCUCAAUUUUCUGACCAACUUGACAUAAAAAAAUGACAGAAAUAAAAAGGAAAAACAGGGGGGAAAAAUGUUGAGAGUGGGCAACUAGUAGUGCAUUUAGAUUAUGACCUAUGUAUGGAGGAGUUCAAACUAAUAGCUAACAGAAGCAUGCCAUACACACAUGAGCAUAUGGCAGAGAUGCAGAAAUUUUAUUAUACAAAUUUCCACUCAAAGGAUACAGUAAAGCAACUUGGAAGUAUACUGUCUGACUUGUCAACAAUGUCUCUUCCAGUGAUAACUGCAUCGCAUAUGCUUUAUCGCAAUCAACAGCUGGAAGC